CUAUUUCCUUCCACUUGAGUCUAACAUUUGGUCUCUUCAUAGCCAAUAUUCUGUUUUAUGGAAAGGCUUUAAAGUUUUCCUGAAGGAGAUGAGUAAAAGGUGAAGUACCCAAGACAACCUAAAUUUAUAUUAUUCCUUUUGCCAUUAUUAUUAAAAAUAGGAAAGAAGAAGUAGUGUUGGGGAAAACACAGGGAAUGCUGAUGCAAUUAUACCUACAUGUGCAAAGCUACGUGCUUGCUUUUACUCUUGAAAUUUAGACCUCUGCUUUCCUUCUACAGACUGGGACAGUUCAUUUCAGUUGCAUUUUGCAACUACUGACAUACAUGUUCAUUCCUAAAUUCACUUCAUAUGCUUCCAAAUCCUUAGGACAACAUUCAGUUUAGGCACACCAAGAAAAACCUGGAGUGAUUCCACCCACCUAAAUGUAAUUACUCAGUGCUGAAUUAAAGGCACAGGUGUGUAACUUAAGACCCAUGUGUUUGGAGUAACAAGGAGAGAUCAAAAUCUCAGCUUUUGUCAUUAAAUUCAAUGUUUCUAGACCUUAAUCCAAGACACAUUUGUAGAGAGAGGUGAUAGCUUCUUUUUAGAGGCAUUACUAUUAUUAAACAGUGUUUUCUUGGACUGCUCACAUUUUCUCCCAGCUCACCGUCUAACACUAAUCUGUGACUAAAUAUUAAAAAAAAAGUGAGCUGUGAAUGGUUUUAAGCUGAGACAAGAUUCUCACUGUUAAUGGCUUGGUCAGAGAGAGAGAGUAUUUGUUUCAGCAUGUAAAUCUCUUUCCUGCAACGCUUAAAGCUGCUGAUUCUGGAGUUUAGGAGGCCAGCGUGUCCAGAGCUGCUCUAGUCCCUGGGCUGAUGAGCUCUCCCAGCUGGGUAAAGCUCUGUCAGGAGCCAGUUUGUAGUGAAUUGACUGCAGGCAGAAAAUAUAAAAGCUCAUAGGAAACAUGAGCCUGACUCAGGAGCUAUUUCUGUUCAGGUGACAUUCUAAUCCAAGCGUGUGGUGAAUCAUUACAGCAAAAAUUGAUUGGACCCCAUAUCAAACGAGUAUUGAUAAAUAUGAAGAAGUUUGUUUUGAGUUAGUAAUAUAAGGGGUCUUUUAUAUAUAUGGUGCAUUACAACGGGGGGAUUCAGGGCUUUGUCAGACUGUCUAUAAAAAUUAAAAAAAUACAUGUUUGUAUAAAAAUCUCCGUUCUAUACUUGUGGCUUUGAAGGCCUGGGCUGUUUUUCUUUUCCUUCUGGAGUAGCUGCGAUUCAUCUCGUUCGAGUGGAGUGAAUUCAUCCCGUUUCCGAGGCCAACGGGAGGAGCGAGCGGGCGGCCAUGUUGUGCGGGGGGCGGGGAGGAAGGAGCCGAGAUGGCGGCGGCUCCCUCACACACACGGCACAGGAUGGCCGGGGAGCAGCGGCAGCUCCCGCACGGCUCCCGGGCGCGCUCCCCGCCGCUCGCUCGGGGGACACCCGGCCGGAUCCCCGGGUGCAGCGCUCGAGGGCCGAGUCGGGCCCGGCACCCUGGGGGCGAGCGGGGCUGCCGAGAGGGGCUGGGACGGGCGGGCAGCAAUGGCGCCGGGACUGCGAGCGCUGCCCGCGCCGCUCCCUCGCCGGGCGGGCGCGGGGCCGCCCUUGGCCGCGGGAAGGGCGAGCAUCGGAGCAGCGCCCCGUCCUCGGGGCCCCCGGUGCCGGCCAGCGGGCUGCUCUUCGCCAGAUUUGGAUUAUGGUGGUUUUCUAACCCAGCCACAGUUCUGCAGUAUAGAACAGGUUCUGGCAUACACACUGUGCCCUAAAGGAAGUUCUGGCUGUAGGUAGAAUGCCAUGAACAAUUCCUUAUUGUCUGAGUGGCUUCAGAGGAAACGUUCAUGAGUUAUUUUCUCAGAUGCAGGUAGACUGUCUUCAAAUACUGUCAUGUUUCUGUGCUCCUUCUGUCUAAAUUUGAGUUUCCCCAGCCUGCCUGGUUAGGUGUUCCUCAACCAGACGACAGGAGGAGACGGCAGAGAGAGACCGGGCUCACGCAGGGCUGAGCAGCGAGUCAGGGGCUCUGCGCCUCAGGGCUCUGGCCUGUGCUGCAAACUCCUCUCACUUCUGCCUUGGAACCAGUGGAGGAGCACCUGGAGCACACCUGGGUGUUCCAAGGACAGAGACUCCCUGACUCACCAUGGCAGACAGGCAGGAGGAGGCGCGGAAGGGAGGGAGCCAGGUGAGAGCAAAGUGCCCCUCCCGCAGCCUGGCAGAGGGGCUGUCAGGGUGGGCAGCACAGGUGCCAUGCCCGGGGCCACUGUCUCUCUCCCUCCAGCAUGCCUGCUGUGUCAGUAAUCAGAGCCUGACCCGGACAUCUGUGGAGAAAACCUUCACAUAAAUGGCUUCUGUGCCCACCAGUUCUGCCUGGUGAGUUGCUUCAUGGGCUCUCUCCAUUUUCUGACAGGCAGUCCCUGCCACUCUCUCCCCAUCAGUGAGUGUCAUUCUCCUGCAGUUUUUUACCAGCCACCUUCUUUACCACCCGGCUGAUCGAGUAGGAAUCUGUGUUUUCCUCCCAAGGAAUAUCCCAGAUGUAGUCUCCCGGGCGGCACAGAAGGUGAAAAAAGUAGGGAAAUUUGGGCCAGGCGAGGUUUGCUGGAGCUCAACCCAGACCCCAAGCAAGAAAGCCCAGCCCUUCCAACCAGCUCUGGGACAAGGAGGAGGCCCUGAGGCUGCUGCUGAUGGGGCUGCUCUGCUCUUUCCAGAGCUGCUGCAUCUGUGGCCAGAGCGGGGCCACCAUCCCCUGCUGUGAUGGCACAGCGGGAAGGCAGGGACACCCUGCACCUGCCCGAUUCCAGGACAGAGGGAGCUCAUCAGGUUUCUUUUCCCAUCAGGCCACCAUCAUGGGAGGGCUUUAAUGCAUUGGCCGAGCUAGAAGAGACACACAGGCACUGGGAUGCCAGUGAGUGCCUUUGUCCAGGAGGCAGGCAGGAGGCAGAGGAGGAGGGGUAAGUUGCCAAAGCUGCACCCCAGGGCUCUGCCGGGCUUGAAGCAGAAGGACCCAGGAGAAGAGCUCAGCACCUCCAUGAACUCGUUUGCUUCCCCAGGCCCUGGGAACUGCUCCUGUGCUCCUCCUGUGCUGCCGAGGGCACCCACAGGCACUGCUCUGGCCUGGGGACAGCAGAACCAGAUGGGAAUGUGAUGGCUGUGCAGUCCCGGGCACAGGGAAAAGGCAACGCACCCUGGUGAUCCUGGCAGCUGCUGCCCCUGGGCCUGGCAAUGGGUGUCCAGGGUUGGCUUGGCUGAGCUUGUCUGCUCCAGGAGGGCUGGGGGCACUGCUCUGGCCUAUCUUGUCCCAGGUCUGGAACGAUCUUGUCCCUCCUGCUUCCCCUUACAGCCUCCAGUUAAGACCCAGAGCAUGUUGCUCUCAUGAAGGAAUCUUCUGAC
Long non-coding RNA from Pipra filicauda (Wire-tailed manakin), 3392 nucleotides. RefSeq lists it as uncharacterized. NCBI's taxonomy places the organism in Eukaryota, Metazoa, Chordata, Aves, Passeriformes, Pipridae. The transcript has 4 exons. The record is from RefSeq and is a predicted model, not a curated record.